RNAcentral lists this ribosomal RNA (1413 nucleotides) under Glutamicibacter nicotianae. Its description in RNAcentral is "bacterial SSU rRNA". It matches the Rfam family "Bacterial small subunit ribosomal RNA". The record is from RNAcentral. Lineage: Bacteria; Bacillati; Actinomycetota; Actinomycetes; Micrococcales; Micrococcaceae.
AGCCCUGCUUGCACGGUGGAUUACUGGCGAACGGGUGAGUAACACGUGAGUAACCUGCCCCUGACUCUGGGAUAAGCCCGGGAAACUGGGUCUAAUACCGGAUAUGACUUCCUACUGCAUGGUGGGUUGUUGAAAGAUUUAUCGGUGGGGGAUGGACUCGCGGCCUAUCAGCUUGUUGGUGAGGUAAUGGCUCACCAAGGCGACGACGGGUAGCCGGCCUGAGAGGUGACCCGGCUAUACUGGGACUGAGACACGGCCCAGACUCCUACGGGAGGCAGCAGUGGGGAAUAUUGCACAAUGGGCGGAAGCCUGAUGCAGCGACGCCGCGUGAGGGAUGACGGCCUUCGGGUUGUAAACCUCUUUCAGUAGGGAAGAAGCGAAAGUGACGGUACCUGCAGAAGAAGCGCCGGCUAACUACGUGCCAGCAGCCGCGGUAAUACGUAGGGCGCAAGCGUUAUCCGGAUUUAUUGGGCGUAAAGAGCUCGUAGGCGGUUUGUCGCGUCUGCCGUGAAAGUCCGAGGCUCAACCUCGGAUCUGCGGUGGGUACGGGCAGACUAGAGUGAUGUAGGGGAGACUGGAAUUCCUGGUGUAGCGGUGAAAUGCGCAGAUAUCAGAGGAACACCGAUGGCGAAAGCAGGUCUCUGGGCAUUUACUGACGCUGAGGAGCGAAAGCAUGGGGAGCGAACAGGAUUAGAUACCCUGGUAGUCCAUGCCGUAAACGUUGGGCACUAGUGUGGGGGACAUUCCACGUUUUCCGCGCCGUAGCUAACGCAUUAAGUGCCCCGCCUGGGGAGUACGGCCGCAAGGCUAAAACUCAAAGGAAUUGACGGGGGCCCGCACAAGCGGCGGAGCAUGCGGAUUAAUUCGAUGCAACGCGAAGAACCUUACCAAGGCUUGACAUGUGCCAGACCGCUCCAGAGAUGGGGUUUCCCUUCGGGGCUGGUUCACAGGUGGUGCAUGGUUGUCGUCAGCUCGUGUCGUGAGAUGUUGGGUUAAGUCCCGCAACGAGCGCAACCCUCGUUCCAUGUUGCCAGCACGUAGUGGUGGGGACUCAUGGGAGACUGCCGGGGUCAACUCGGAGGAAGGUGGGGAUGACGUCAAAUCAUCAUGCCCCUUAUGUCUUGGGCUUCACGCAUGCUACAAUGGCCGGUACAAUGGGUUGCGAUACUGUGAGGUGGAGCUAAUCCCUAAAAGCCGGUCUCAGUUCGGAUUGGGGUCUGCAACUCGACCCCAUGAAGUCGGAGUCGCUAGUAAUCGCAGAUCAGCAACGCUGCGGUGAAUACGUUCCCGGGCCUUGUACACACCGCCCGUCAAGUCACGAAAGUUGGUAACACCCGAAGCCGAUGGCCUAACCACCUUGUGUGGGGGGAGUCGUCGAAGGUGGGACUGGCGAUUGGGACUAAGUCGAACAAG